This is a non-coding RNA of Chrysemys picta bellii (western painted turtle), 1703 nucleotides long. The record is from RefSeq and is a predicted model, not a curated record. NCBI's taxonomy places the organism in Eukaryota, Metazoa, Chordata, Testudines, Emydidae.
ACACAGUGGUCAGAGCACAUUCAACCAGAUGGCAGGCAUCUGGUACAUUUUUGAAGCAUGUCCCAGUAUAUCUGAGCAAUGUAGAACUGAUCCUGUGGACUAAGGUCCAUGUAGUUCAAUGCAUUAUGCCCUGCUCUGUGCCGUCAGAUCUGAUGCGACAUUUGGCUCUGCAGUACUGUCUUCAGUUCUGGAACCUGUUCUGAAGUGCCCUCCUCCUAGGGAUACUGCUCGGAAGUCACGGACCCUACUCAAAGGAAACGUUUCCCUGUACUGUAACUAAUUCUUUGAGAUGCGCGUCCGUAUGGGUGCUCUACUACUUGUCGUCUUUCCCCUCUGCUUUGGUUGUUCCGUAGGCCAAGGGGAUGACUGAUUAGAGAAGGAACUGAGGGUGGUUCACCCGUGCACCCAUAUAUAGCCUCGGUGUCUGCCCCGAGGAGGGUGCAUACACAGGCCAAACAGACACUGCUAGCUAGAAAUCUCUGUUGAAGGGCUCCAGAGGAGGGGACACAUCUUGAAGAACCACAGUUACUGUUCAGGGUGAGUAACGGUUCCUUAUGUGGUUUAAAAAACAGCUGUUAAACUCAUUCUGCUAUUCCCAACUGGUGUCCAAGUGAAAAUGUAGAAUGUUCUAAUUAAAAAGUACAAGCAGGACAGAAAUCUGAAUUUCCCAAUAUGUGGGUAGAUCACUUCUGAUAUGGUCAGGAUUUCAGUUCCUAAAUGUUGCAGACACUGGGACAGAUCCAGAAAAACUGGCAUGAGGCACAUAUUCUAGGUCUGUGUGCCUGCUAAAACCACCUGUGUCAGAGGGAAUUUAUCCAGGGGAGGUUAAGUGGUUUGUCACCACUGCUAACUGAUCUCCCCCAUUUUUUCCACCAAUAGGAGGGGGAUGGUUCGGGUGUUCCAUCAGGUCUCAUUUGGAGUUUCACCACCAAGAUGUCUUGGGUGUGCCCCCUUUCAGGAGGUUGGAGUCUUUAUGCCAGCACCUGGUUGUCUACCCACCACAAGGGCUUCAGCAGAGUUCAUACUAACAUCCUGGGGUGAAUUUGGUCCACAAUCUUUGUUCUGAAUUCUGAUUAGUUCUGAUCAACUAACCCUGAUUUCGCAUAUGACCAACAACAGGCUCAUCACUGGAUUACUUAUGCUACAAUUGAAUUCCUUCGUUUAAAAUUAUCUCAUCAUGGUCUUUCAAGGUUACAGGACGGGGGAGGAAGUGCUUAGGAAUCACUUAGCAACCAUGUGGCCUGGGUGGAGAAAAUACUGGAUGGGGACUCAGGAGAUCUGCAUUCUAUUCCUGGGGUAAGUCAUUUUGCUUCUCUGUGCCUCAGUUUCCCCAUCUGUUAAAUGGGGAUAAUGAUGGUUACCUCCUGUGUAAAGUGCUCUGAGAAGGACUAAUAAAAAGUGCUAUAUUAAGAGCUAGGUUUGAUUACCUCUCCUCAGCAGUAUCUCAACCACAAACCUAUGUGAUAACUAUAACAGCCUAAACGGCCACGAACGCCUACAGAAAACAUCUUUUUUAAAAAACAAAACAAAAACAAAAACCACCAAACAAAUCGGCUAAUUCACUAAUGCAAAGUGUUGUUAAUGUGGAAUUAAAUUUGCCCUGCGGUGUCCUGUGCCUUUCCAGAACGCCUAAAAACCAGGAAAUAAGGCUAUGUCUACACUACGGGAUUAUUCCGAUUUUACAGAAACCGGUUUUUGGCAAC